GAUGAACGCUGGCGGCGUGCUUAACACAUGCCAGUCGAACGAAGCAUUUAGGACAGAUUACUUCGGUUUGAAGUUCUUUAUGACUGAGUGGCGGACGGGUGAGUAACGCGUGGGUAACCUGCCUUGUACUGGGGGAUAGCAGCUGGAAACGGCUGGUAAUACCGCAUAAGCGCACAAUGUUGCAUGACAUGGUGUGAAAAACUCCGGUGGUAUAAGAUGGACCCGCGUCUGAUUAGCUAGUUGGUGAGAUAACAGCCCACCAAGGCGACGAUCAGUAGCCGAACUGAGAGGGUGACCGGCCACAUUGGGACUGAGACACGGCCCAGACUCCUACGGGAGGCAGCAGUGGGGAAUAUUGCACAAUGGAGGAAACUCUGAUGCAGCGACGCCGCGUGAGUGAAGAAGUAAUUCGUUAUGUAAAGCUCUAUCAGCAGGGAAGAUAGUGACGGUACCUGACUAAGAAGCUCCGGCUAAAUACGUG
RNAcentral lists this ribosomal RNA (481 nucleotides) under uncultured bacterium. Its description in RNAcentral is "partial 16S ribosomal RNA". It matches the Rfam family "Bacterial small subunit ribosomal RNA", at positions 28 to 507 of the family's 1533-position model. The record is from RNAcentral.